CCGUGCUAGACGGGGAGUUGGCGGUGCCCUGUAACCCGAAAUCCGCCCAAGCGGGGUUGAAGUCCCCUCGGAGAUCGUCCGACCCUCAUUCGUCACGGGAAAUGGAGCAUUGAAGGACAGGUCCUGCGCAGCGAUGGCCCAUGAACCCCGUCAGGACCGGGAGGUAGCAGCGGUAAGUGGUUUCCAUCGCGUGCCGCGGUACCACCUGUCCGGAGCCACCAGCCCGCGGCGGAUGCAGGCGAAGCGAGCGACGAGGGGUGCACGG
Molecule: signal recognition particle RNA, 265 nt
Filed under: Candidatus Eiseniibacteriota bacterium
Lineage: Bacteria; Candidatus Eiseniibacteriota
Description: signal recognition particle sRNA large type
Rfam family: Bacterial large signal recognition particle RNA
About the family: The signal recognition particle (SRP) is a universally conserved ribonucleoprotein involved in the co-translational targeting of proteins to membranes. Archaeal SRP consists of a 7S RNA and homologues of the eukaryotic SRP19 and SRP54 proteins.
Source: RNAcentral